RNAcentral lists this ribosomal RNA (468 nucleotides) under uncultured bacterium. RNAcentral describes it as "partial 16S ribosomal RNA". It matches the Rfam family "Bacterial small subunit ribosomal RNA", at positions 28 to 507 of the family's 1533-position model. The record is from RNAcentral.
GACGAACGCUGGCGGCGUGCUUAACACAUGCAAGUCGAACGGAAAGGCCCUGCUUUUGUGGGGUGCUCGAGUGGCGAACGGGUGAGUAACACGUGAGUAACCUGCCCUUGACUUUGGGAUAACUUCAGGAAACUGGGGCUAAUACCGGAUAGGAGCUCCUGCUGCAUGGUGGGGGUUGGAAAGUUUCGGCGGUUGGGGAUGGAUUCGCGGCUUAUCAGCUUGUUGGUGGGGUAGUGGCUUACCAAGGCUUUGACGGGUAGCCGGCCUGAGAGGGUGACCGGCCACAUUGGGACUGAGAUACGGCCCAGACUCCUACGGGAGGCAGCAGUGGGGAAUAUUACACAAUGGGCGGAAGCCUGAUGCAGCAACGCCGCGUGCGGGAUGACGGCCUUCGGGUUGUAAACCGCUUUCGCCUGUGACGAAGCGUGAGUGACGGUAAUGGGUAAAGAAGCACCGGCUAACUACGUG